CCUACGGGUGGCAGCAGUGGGGGAUAUUGCACAAUGGGGGAAACCCUGAUGCAGCGACGCCGCGUGAGUGAAGAAGGAUUUCGGGAUGUAAAGCUCUAUCAGCAGGGAAGAAAAUGACAGUACCUGACCAAGAAGCCCCGGCUAACUACGUGCCAGCAGCCGCGGUAAUACGUAGGGGGCAAGCGUUAUCCGGAUUUCCUGGGUGUAAAGGGAGCGUAGACGGUUCUGUACGUCUGGAGUGAAAGCCCGGGGCCCAACCCCGGGACGGCUUUGGACACUGUGUAACUGGAGUACAGGAGGGGCAGGCGGAAUUCCUGGUGUCGCGGUGAAAUGCUUAGAUAUCAGGAGGAACACCGGCGGCGCAGGCGGCCUGCUGGACUGAAACUGACGUUGAGGCUCGAAAGCGUGG
Molecule: ribosomal RNA, 409 nt
Filed under: uncultured bacterium
Lineage: Bacteria
Description: partial 16S ribosomal RNA
Rfam family: Bacterial small subunit ribosomal RNA
Source: RNAcentral